CUUGGAAAUGGGAAGCAUCAGAUAGCCUCUCCUGCUUGCUUGCUUGCUUUCUUUUUUUAAAUGUACGCUUCCGUUUGAAAAAUGCAGCAUGUUACAGAGAGAGCAAGGUUCAAAGAUCAAGUGAGCUGAAGUAGAGAGGAUGGAUGAGACAGAAGAGUUACAAAGGGAGAUGAUAAGAUGAUGACCCUAUGCCAGAGGUCAGGAAAUCUGAAGCCAUUAACAGUGAUAGAGGUGGACUUGGAGCCACUACUGUAUUGCAGUUUCAGCCUUCCAAAUUCAGUGAAGUCUUGGAACGUUGCUUGGAAGUGUGAAUCCUUGACAUGUUCAGCUUUACUGUGACUCCUUCCUGGAUCACUUCUUGGAACUUUACUGCUUGUAACUCUAUCUGGAAUGAUGAAUCACUGCUAAAAGACAUUACCCAUUUCUAUUGCCCUGGAGUCAUUACUUGCAUUUGGCCAUGAGCUUCAGUUCCAUUGACCCCCUUCCUUUCAAAAGCCCUUAUUUUCCUCAGCUUAUAUGGUUUAUAUGGACUCUAUUUUUUCAGCACAAGUGUCAGCAGCCUAUUUUCUCUUGAAGAUCUGAAAUUAUUCAUUGAAUAUUCUAGGAUCAAGUUAUUUGCUCAGGUCUUUGUGAAACAUAGGAACUUUAUGGGCUAAUGUUGUUUUGACAAUCACAUUAGAUUCAUCUCAUUGUACUUUAGCACUUUUUGCUGAUUUGGAGCUGUGAUAUACAACCCAGGGCAGGGUGUGAAAAGGUGACACUUGAAUGUACUUUUUCCUGACUAUGAAAGAGGGACUAGAUGAAUGUAAAGCCUCUUUCAUUAGAACGCUUUUUUCCUCCACCAGUCUUCAGCAAUUCAUUACUGGGCUUACAUUAAAAUCAGUCUAAUGGGAGCUGGAAUGUUGUCCGGAGGAAAAUAGCGUGGAGUAGAAUUAUAAUCCACACAGAGUCUGCCAGUUUCUGAUUUGUCUGAGAUGUGAUCAUCACUGGAGAAACGGUGCUGUUGCGAUUUGAAUUGAUUGC
RNAcentral lists this long non-coding RNA (1023 nucleotides) under Struthio camelus australis. RNAcentral describes it as "lncRNA (ENSSCUG00000009885.1)". The record is from RNAcentral. Lineage: Eukaryota; Metazoa; Chordata; Aves; Struthioniformes; Struthionidae.